Long non-coding RNA from Capsicum annuum, 597 nucleotides. RefSeq lists it as uncharacterized. NCBI's taxonomy places the organism in Eukaryota, Viridiplantae, Streptophyta, Magnoliopsida, Solanales, Solanaceae. The record is from RefSeq and is a predicted model, not a curated record. The transcript is spliced from 2 exons.
CACAUUGUUGGAAAACUUCCAAUCUAGUGGAUUUGAACAAGGAAAUCAACAUUGGUUGUCUCUUAGCUACAUCUCUUGUUUCUGCCAGUAUAUUCUCAAAAAAUGUUGGUCGUCUGAGAUCCUCCGUGGUUGGCAUGUCAUUCUCUUCUGAUUUACCCAUACUUAGUUGUGCUCAGAAUAUGCUAUCUAGUGAAUUUGGGCUGGUUGUGGUGUCCUUCUCAUCACUUGAUUUUGCUAGUUUCUUUGUUGGGUAAGAUUAUCUUUGUUUCUUUGUUUCAAUCUAUUGGCCAUAUUUAGCAUCCAUGUGAUUAUGUCAUAAGAUGAGAUCUUCAUCAGGUAUCUUUCUGCUGCUUUGGCUGGUUUUAGCGAACCUCAAAGACGAGUUGUAUCCAUCGAGAUAUAUUCUUGAUGGGAGUAAGACUCCCACAUGUACUACUUUGUUAAAUUCUUGUCAAGCAUGGAAAAGAUCACAUUGAUAACAAGUUCCUGUUUUGAUUUUAGUAGCCUGAGACUUAUUUAAGCAGUGCCCUGUUUGAUCACUUCUGAAUGACACAUAUUUCUCAUGGAUGAAGCCAAUAUAUUCCCUGUUAUGAUUUA